This 69-nucleotide transfer RNA is filed under the name Heloderma suspectum (Gila monster). RNAcentral's name for it is "tRNA-Ala". The record is from RNAcentral. Lineage: Eukaryota; Metazoa; Chordata; Lepidosauria; Squamata; Helodermatidae.
AAGGUCUUAGCUUAAUUAAAGUAUCUAAGUUGCAUUUAGAGGAUAUAAAUUAAAGUUUUAUAGGUCUUU